This 2555-nucleotide unclassified non-coding RNA is filed under the name Apis dorsata (giant honeybee). RNAcentral describes it as "uncharacterized LOC102672788, transcript variant X2". The record is from RNAcentral. Lineage: Eukaryota; Metazoa; Arthropoda; Insecta; Hymenoptera; Apidae.
AUGUCGGAAAUAUAUCAAACAUUUUUCGCGUUUUAUACUUUUCUUUUCUCUCCACUGGUUAUUUUACUAUUAAUAUGUUUGUACCUAUAUCGCUGUAUCAUAGAGAUCAUUUUAAGGAUUCAAUUAAAGGAUAAAUUUGUGGGUCUCCUUGAUGGGAUGGACUGCAUUUGGGCAGUAGAACAAUCAUCGGCACUUUCUGUGAAUAAUAUCCUUAUGAUUUUAGAAAAAGAUGCUCGUCACUCGAACAUCAACUUCUUGGAGAAUUUUCGUGAUUUGGUGAAGAAUCGUAUAGUAUGUUCGUCUUUUGAAAAGCUAUUGUAUAAAAGAAAAAGAAAAUUUGGCUAUUACUUCUGGGAGAGAAGUGAAGAGAUCGAUCUGAGAGAACGUAUAAGAUGGUUGGAAUACGAACGCACGAAUUGCGACGGAUCCUGUGAUAAUAUUUACAAUAGUCAUCUGAAAAAAGUUCUAUGGAAUAUUUGUAAUCAGCCUUUACCGGAGAAUCACACAGCAUCCUGGGAGAUCUUAAUUGGAAAAUGUUGCCCCAGAUUAAGUCAUCAUUAUCUUCGACGAAUGGAGGAACGUUUGACGAAUAAAAUUAAGAUUCCCAUUUUAUUUCGUGUCCAUCAUUCUUUAGGCGAUGGUAUGGCUCUUCUAAAGUUCUUUAGAGAUGUUAUUAUUGAUAAAGAACCAGUUUCGGAAAUAUUCUUGCAGUUGGAUAACAGUUUGAAAAUGAAGAACGAGAAAACAAAAAAGCAGAAUGUAAUAGUAUCUUUGAUGAAUCCUGCGAAUGGAGAGAAUAAUUUGGACAGUAAUUCAUUUCAAAAGAAAAUCAUGUCGGCAUCGAUGCCAUUUAUUCAUUUUACGAUGUUUUCAUAUUUUUUUCUAUUAUUAUGGGAACAUUUUAAUAUAUGGUUGAAAUAUUUACAAAAUAUUACUUUAGAAGACUUGAAAUGCGAAAUGAAAAUGUUUCUAAGAAUAGAACAAGAUAAAUUAAAAGUUUUCUUCUCGGAAAUGAUUUGUAAAAAGAUACAGAAAGGUUUAAAAAUGGCAAAAAUUAUUAUAAAUCUUCCUGGUUGCCUGAUUCAACAAGCUUUUCGUAGCAUGGACAAAAGCGCACUCCAUGGAGCAGAAUUAUCAGGUGAAAAGUUUGUUUCUUACUGGCUUGAAGACGAUUUCAAAAAUGCCUGCAAUCAAAAAUUGUUUACAAAAAUACAGAAUAUAAGAAGUAUCACUGGUGCUAGAUUUGGAGAUGUAUUAUUAGCUGCUUUAUCAGUCAGUUUACAUAAAUAUUUCCUUAAUAUAAACGAAUUCGUUCCAACAAAAUUAAGCGUUGUUUUGCCGAUGAAAAUCGAAGAAUGGAGUGAGAACUUCCCCUUGAAAAAUAAUAUUUCAGUUGGUAUACUGCCCCUCUGCAUUUCACAGAUAAAGGGUAAACAGCUUGCAGAUCCACGAGAGAAUUCUCAAAUUCUAGAACGCCUUGAAGAUAUUAGAAAAGCGAAUGAUGUGCUUAGAAAAAGUCCAGAUUACACGGUGAAUUUCUUAGUAAUGAAGUAUCUCUCAGCUAUGCUACCCGACAAAUUUUUACGACCAAUCUUAAAAAGUCAUAGUACUAUGGUGUUUAGCAAUUUAGUUGGUCCUCAAGAAGUGAAACUUUUGGGACAUCCUUUAAAAAAUAUUGUUUUUUGGAUACCAAACAGAAGUUAUACAGGAAUUGGAUGUUCGUUAUUAACAUAUCGAGGUUAUUUGCAUUUAUCUUUGAUUGCCGAUAAAGCUUUAGUACAAAGCGAAAAGGCUCUUACCAAAAUUUUAGAAAACACGGUAAAUGAAAUCGACAAUCUUUAUGACAGAUUAACUUUGUCAUUUUUUUCGAAGAAACUUCAUAGAAGUAUAUCAACACCUACGAAGAAAGAAAUAGAUAAGGCCAAAAAACAAUAUCAAAAAGAGUGUUAAAAAAGGAAAAACUUGUUCGUCGACGAUGAGAAAUUUUCGGAGUUGUGUGUAUUAUCGAACUUGCUUUAAUACGCUGAUUCAGAAUAUUCUUCGAUUUAUAUCGAAUUUUUCUUCCUUUUUUACUGCAAUCAGAUGAAACAUCCAUAUCUUCGUUUCAAGUAAAUAUUAUCUCAACCAUUUUUUCUUUCUAAUUUCUUCCGGAGAUGAACUCUUUAAAUCGCUGUCAUCUUCUUGUCGAAUGCUCAAAGGCAGAGUUUGUUCGGUACAUGAUCUACAAGGACAGUUUAGUUUCAAACUUCGUAAGAUCGUUAAAACACGGGGAUCAUCGAUGCUGCUAAAAAGAGGGGAUUCGUCGGUCGACGUCAUUCCAUGACAUUCUUCAUCCGCCUCUAACGUCGAAGUCUCAUCUUUGUUCCAAACUAUUCUGAAUAAAAUGCAAUGCUCCUGAAUACAUUAAUGUAUCUUUUUUCAAAUAGAUUUCUACGUUUAUCACGCGUACUUUGUUUCUUUUGGUAUUUCGCAAUCAAAACGAACCACAUCUUUUUUACUUUCUUCUUUACAGCAUCCUUUUUUCAUCUCGUUGUCCGUGAUCUCAAUACUUUAAA